GAUGAACGCUGGCGGCGUGCCUAAUACAUGCAAGUCGAGCGAACGGACGAGAAGCUUGCUUCUCUGAUGUUAGCGGCGGAAGGGUGAGUAACACGUGGAUAACCUACCUAUAAGACUGGGAUAACUUCGGGAAACCGUAGCUAAUACCGGAUAAUAUUUUGAACCGCAUGGUUCAAAAGUGAAAGACGGUCUUGCUGUCACUUAUAGAUGGAUCCGCGCUGCAUUAGCUAGUCGGUAAGGUAACGGCUUACCAAGGCAACGAUGCAUAGCCGACCUGAGAGGGUGAUCGGCCACACUGGAACUGAGACACGGUCCAGACUCCUACGGGAGGCAGCAGUAGGGAAUCUUCCGCAAUGGGCGAAAGCCUGACGGAGCAACGCCGCGUGAGUGAUGAAGGUCUUCGGAUCGUAAAACUCUGUUAUUAGGGAAGAACAUAUGUGUAAGUAACUGUGCACAUCUUGACGGUACCUAAUCAGAAAGCCACGGCUAACUACGUG
Molecule: ribosomal RNA, 497 nt
Filed under: uncultured bacterium
Lineage: Bacteria
Description: partial 16S ribosomal RNA
Rfam family: Bacterial small subunit ribosomal RNA
Source: RNAcentral